RNAcentral lists this unclassified non-coding RNA (650 nucleotides) under Hevea brasiliensis (rubber tree). Lineage: Eukaryota; Viridiplantae; Streptophyta; Magnoliopsida; Malpighiales; Euphorbiaceae. The record is from RNAcentral.
UUGUGUUUAAGUGAUCUGGGGCUUUGCAACUCUGAUAUUUUUUCUCUAAGGUAGAAAAAUAUGAGUAUAAAACCAACUGUUGCAUUGAGAGCCAUUCUCGUUGGAGGAAUAGCUGCCUUUGCAAAAAUUGGUGGUGCCGUUAAAGCUGCAGGAGGAGUAAAAUUAGGUGCAGCUGCUGCUGCCAUGACUGCUGCAGCAACAGCAGCUGUAUCAGGAUCCAAACAGGAAGAAAAGAAGGAUGGUUCUCAGCAGUUGUCGUCCAAGUGAUGCACACAACUCAUGUGUUAUUUUUUUUCUUCAAUGUAACGUCUAAACUGUCAAAAUAAAAGUUGUAGGGUGGUGGAAUAUGCCAAUCAAAUGGUUUCCCAGGAUGAUCUUUAAUAGCUAAGAUAUAUGGGUUCUUACAACUGCGGGACUCGUUAGUUCUGUACUAGUGGAAGUUGGAGUUUGUUGAAGUGAUCACUCAGUGCCUGUGCUAGAUGCAAUUUGUUUUCCCUCCAGUACCUGAGGUAUGUAACUGUUUUUGUACCAGUAAAGGAUAUAUUACUGCUUCCGUGAUACUUUCAAAAGCAAAAUAUAUGUUUUUAUAAGGUUUUAUAACAUGAGAUCUGUCAAUAAACCCAGAUGGAACUUCUGGUUCUGGGCGCGGG